CCUACGGGUGGCAGCAGUGGGGAAUAUUGCACAAUGGGGGAAACCCUGAUGCAGCGAAGCAGCGUGAAGGAUGAAGUAUUUAGGUAUGUAAACUUCUAUCUGCAGGGAGGAAAAUGACGGUACCUGACUAAGAAGCCACGGCUAAAUACGUGCAGGCAGCCGCGGUACUGCGUAGGGGGCAAGCGUUAUCCGGAUUUACUGGGUGUAAAGGGGGCGUAGACGGCAUGGUAGGUCUGAUGUGAAAACCCGGGGCGCGACCCCGGGACUGCAGUUGAAACUGGCAGGCUAGAGUGUCGGAGAGGCAAGUGGAAUUCGUAGUGUAGCGGUGAAAUGCAUAGAUAUUAGGAGGAACACCAGUUGCGAAGGCAGCUUGCUGGACGGUGACUGACGUUGAGGCUCGAAAGCGUGGGGAGCAAACAGGAUUAGAUACCCGAGUAGUC
This 440-nucleotide ribosomal RNA is filed under the name uncultured bacterium. RNAcentral's name for it is "partial 16S ribosomal RNA". It matches the Rfam family "Bacterial small subunit ribosomal RNA", at positions 338 to 795 of the family's 1533-position model. The record is from RNAcentral.